AUCUCUUGGAUCUAGGCUGCUUCCUGAGGAGGAGUGUUCUGUAGCUAGUGAUCUUCACAAAUUGGGGUAUGCAUGAGAGUUAUGGCUGUGAUACUCUUUAACGUGGGGUUCUCUAGACUGCCUAAAAGUCAGCAUCAGAGGUAUAGCUAACAAAACUUUACACUGAGGCUGAGCUGUACAUGGCCUAAAUAUAUUUCUGCCUCCUCAGACACAGAAGAAUACAAGCUUAUCUCAAGCUUGGGAGCCACAUAAUUAUAAAACAGCAUUCACUUAUUUUCCAAACUGACAGGAGGAGUUUGGAAUGGAGGACCUGUGCCAUCAGAUGUGUUUUCUCUCUGUGUAGCAAUGGGAGAUCAGAGAAGGCCUGAAAAAAGAAACUUUCUGUUCUUGUAGCCCCUGGCAUUGUAUCUCCUUGCUUUCAUAAGUUGAUGCAUAUGUUGCUUAUGCAUUGAACCAACCCUAAUAAUUCUUAAAGAAAACUUCUGAACACUGCUGUACCUGAGGUACUUCAGUAGUUUGUUUCUUUUUAAUUGUUACGUAUCUUUACAGUUUAAUGAAUGACAGCUGCUCAUAUAGACUAGUUCCGAACACAAAAAUACACACUAGGGUAUUCAUGCUUCUUUUUUCCAUUUAACUUUAAAAAUGGGAUUCUCUCAGCCUGCUUCUUUUUCAGAAGAGUAUGUAUUGACAAACGACAGUCCCUUAAUGCUUUCUGACAAUAACAGUGAUUUUUGCCAAUUUGAGCUGCCAGCAGUAACGACUGUCUGUUAAAACAAACAAUUAAUGAAUGUGUCCAAAUGAUCUUUUACCAACUGCUGUCUUUUAGAGUCAACAUUAACUUCUCUAUAGCAUUUUCAGCAAUUUUAUGAGUAAAUUCUGUCAAUUUCACAGAAUUUUAAGUGUAUAAAGGUAACUAAUUUAACGGACAAUUUGUAUGCAAGUUAGUAUGAAUAACAUUGCUAGUGCUAGUCUAGUUCUGCAACUUACCAUGAGCACAUAGGUUUACAUCAACAGAUAUAACUGUAGGGGUAGGAGGAGUACUAGUCAGUGUGAAAAUCGUUCACAUAGAAGACAACUAAAAAGUAUAAAGACUUGUUUGUAUCUUUGUGUCAGCACAAAUGCUUCUGGAAUUACCCAGUGGCAACAUCCGUUUAUAAGGGCAACUGGGAGCAUAUGUAAGCAGUAAUGGCUGUGCUGACCUCUAUAAAAGUCUGCAUCUCAUUCUUGAUUUUAUAAAUUCCUUUAAAAUACUUUAAGGCUCUAUUCACUGAGUCAUGUUAAAAUGAAAAAGAGUAAGUCUCAAGUCCAUGCCACUUCUCUGUAGGCACUGUAGAGAAAAAGAAAUUCCUUCCAAUCAACAUCUGUGGUGUGCAAGCAUUAGGGAAUGAGCUACAGAGACUAUUGGAUUACAUAUAUCAUGUAGUUCAAGAGUCUUUGGAACAACACACAUUCCUAGAAAAUACAAAAUCAUGUUCAAGGGACCGCAGAUAGAAUUCAGGAGUGAAAUUUCCAUCUCAAUAGCAUACUUCCUGUAGGGUCAUUUAACAUUAAUAACACAAUUCCUUGUAUGAUAUGUAUUACUGUUUUCUUGUUCCAUGUAAUUUAUACUAUAUAUACUGGGGAAGGUUCUGUUCAUCACUAAUUGGACAUGACUGCAGUAUUCCUUUGGCUGGUUGUAAGGAUGCAGAAUUAUGAAUUGGUAAACUCACCAGCUGAUUUUGAAAAUGCAAGGGGAAGAAAAUGAAAUAGGACAAAAUCAUAUUUCUAUGACUUUUACUUUGUCCUUUAAUUAGUCAUUAAAUUUAGCAGAUAGAAAAGGUUUUUAGCCCUUGAGGAACAAGCCAAACAUGAAAUAUUUUUACUAAAAUGGCUCAGACAAUUUCCAAUAAAAUAAGAGAAAAAUGGCUCAUGGAGAAUGUUUGUCUGCUAUGCUCUUGGUCAGUAGCAAUUAAAAUACAAACUGUAGAUUAUCCUUUGAAUGGGAAAAACCAUAGGUGAACAUCACAGCUGCCUUCUUUCAUCAAAUAGAUAAAAAUUUCAUCCUGCUAAGCAUCUGGAUAGUGUCACUUUAUUCCCAAUUACCUAUCUGCAGCUUCCAACUCAAAAUGAAAAUAUGGUAGAAACAUUUGAAGGAAGACAAUAAGCUUAGUUUUGAAAGAAAGCAAAUAUCUUGCUCAUUUAUUUAGUUAACUGUUCACUUGAGGCUGAUGAGAGAAGCUCACUUAUUUUGUUAUAUUGUAUGUAUAAUUAAAAUUUCAUAUAAGUGCAAAAUAAUGGUUAGAGAAUUAAAACACAACAAAUGCUAGCCUUAGGAUACUGCAAAAUAGGGUGUUCUACAGGAAAAUAUUAUGUUAUGAAUUUGAAAUUACAUUUCAUUUCUAAAGUAUUUUGAAAUAAAUUAUUAUCAUUAACCUGUAUUUUUUUUGAAUUUUAAACCAAUGGUUGUUGCUAAAUAUUUUUAGCUAUAAAUUCAUGACUCUCUUCACACGCUUAAUGAAGCUAUUCAUAUGUCAAAAAUUAAAUCUGUGUCUUAAUUCUUUCAGAGUAGAACUACAGUAAUUAUGUUAGCAGUUGUUGACGUGAAAUAUAUUGCAAUACUAUUCUAGGUUUGUUUUUUAAAGGCAUAAUAUAUAGCAUUGUUUAAUCUGUGAAACAAACACAUAUCCUUUCUCUCUGUUACAUGAAAAGAAAAAUCCAGUAUAAAAUGGUUUUUAUUGUUAUAACAUACACACUAUAAGAAAGCAUUCUGUAAAUUAUCUCCAGGUUACAUUGGGUCUGAGAUGAUCUUUGAUACAUUUCCUUUGCAUAAUAUAGCAGAGCACCAUGUAGUCAUGUACUUUUAAUUAUCAUGUGAUUGUUUUGAUAUUAAAAUGUGAUUACUUGAAAUAAAAUAUUAUGUGAAUUUUAGUU
Molecule: long non-coding RNA, 2910 nt
Filed under: Gallus gallus (chicken)
Lineage: Eukaryota; Metazoa; Chordata; Aves; Galliformes; Phasianidae
Description: lncRNA (ENSGALG00010005812.1)
Source: RNAcentral